RNAcentral lists this transfer RNA (123 nucleotides) under Talaromyces islandicus. RNAcentral describes it as "Penicillium islandicum tRNA". It matches the Rfam family "tRNA". Rfam says of the family: Transfer RNA (tRNA) molecules are approximately 80 nucleotides in length. The record is from Rfam by way of RNAcentral. Lineage: Eukaryota; Fungi; Ascomycota; Eurotiomycetes; Eurotiales; Trichocomaceae.
GUCUCCAUAGUUUAGUGGUUAUGACGUCUGACUGUUAAUACACGAGUAGUUCUACCUAGUAGUCGCUCAACAAAGUGUAUACAGACUAUCAGAAGGUCGGCAGUUCGAUCCUGCCUGGGGACG